RNAcentral lists this long non-coding RNA (1483 nucleotides) under Suricata suricatta (meerkat). RNAcentral describes it as "lncRNA (ENSSSUG00005011537.1)". Lineage: Eukaryota; Metazoa; Chordata; Mammalia; Carnivora; Herpestidae. The record is from RNAcentral.
AUGGGAAAGGGAGUCCGGCAAAGCCGAGUCCUUCUGGGGAUCGCGUUUCCACUUCCGAUGUUUAGUGGACGUCCGAACGCCCGGACUCCGGGUCCAGGCAAGCGGUUCGAGGGUCCUCUGGGGACGUUGCGCGGCCGCGGAGAAGGGGCCGCGGGCCCCGGCCCCCAGAGUCGCAGGGCCUUGGAGGGUGCGCGCGGCCGCCGCUUAAGACCCUGGCCACCCUCGCCGGUGGGCGUGGCCGGACCGACACCCAGGGUCCCGCAGCCUCCGCCCCGGCCCCGCGGCCCCGCGGGCGAGGUGUGGCCCUCGUGCUGGCGGCGCCCUCCUUCGCGCCGCCCACCGGACUCAGCGGCGACGACCUGGCCUUGUAGCCGCCGAGGCGACCCCGUCCCCAGGGCCCGCGUUUACCCCAUAAGGCUUCCAGAGAAGGUCUCCCGAGGAGGAGAGUACCCUUACAGUGCAAUGGGAACUGAGCUGAGACUGCAGAGGUUUCAUCCGGACUUUACAAUCUGCGAAGCCCUAGGACACGCGGGACGGGUCCUGUGAGUUCCCGGUGGAAGACGGCAGCAGUGAGUUUCGCCAGUUCACUACCACGCGGAGGGGUUUCCCAGUGAACCCCAUGCAAUGCGUACUUUUUACAGUGCCGGGAUCUUGAUUUGAAACUAGUCACCCAUUACCUUGCUCAAGAGUGUUCUGGCUACCUCGGUGCGCGGCCCGAGCGGGGCGCUGCGGGCUUUAGUUUUUAGCUCUCCUCCAGCUCCAGCCCUUAACCCUGGCUUCAAAGCUUCUGACAGGCAAGCAGGCGGCUUUUGGAAGCUGUUCACUUGGAGACCCCUCAAGAUAAAAACAAUAAAGUGAUAACUGGGACUCCAUGAAAUUCACCUCUAUAUGAAAGUUGCAAUAGAUGACAAUCAAAUUAUGCAUUGCAAAACUGAAGAGGCACAUAGCAGAAAUACCUGUUCUUAUUCUCUUAUUCUCAAGUACAGAGAGUAAGUAAGAGUUGGGUUUCAGGGCACCGAUCCUAAGAGCCGAAGCUGAUGCAAGUAUAUUAGCCCUUUAAAUAAGUGAAUUCCAAGUGAAUCCUGUGAGUGGGAUGGUCAAAAGGUGAGCCGUUUUCAUCGAGUUAUCACAGACUCAGCCCCAGGGCGGAGAGUCGGAGAGACUCUGUCACAGCACCAAACCCUGCUGAGGGGCGUGUGAGCCCCUCCCCUCCUGUUCAGCCCCGAAUCCCCCCCCACCCCGCUCCACUGGCUCUGUCACUCUGUCAGCUCUGCUUCUCCCGCACAGAACAGGACCCCGGCUCCCCAGGCCUCCCGCACGGCUCGGCUCGGGGAAGGCAGAGCCAAUCCACACCAGCCCCUUCCCGGCGGAUUCGGGGAGGCAGGCCCCUCGCUAGGCCCUGUAUUGUGGGGUGUCAGCCGCUCCCCUCCUGAGGCGUGGGGAGACGCACAGAGCUGGGACUGCGGCCCUGAUCCAUCUGCCU